Non-coding RNA from Ictidomys tridecemlineatus (thirteen-lined ground squirrel), 1350 nucleotides. The record is from RefSeq and is a predicted model, not a curated record. Lineage: Eukaryota; Metazoa; Chordata; Mammalia; Rodentia; Sciuridae.
AAACAGGCAACACUCCCUCCCAAGAGAAUUCUGCAAAAACCUUGAUUCAGUCAGGCAAAAGAUUCAGGAGAGCCUCAAACGGUGGGAACCUGCCUCAUCUCUGCCCUGGAUGUGACUCCCAAACUCCCACUCCCCUCAGCUGGAGAGCUACAGGAAGAAGCUAGGAAAGAUGGGCCAGUGUGCUGGACACAUCAUGCAAAGGGCUUAUAAAGAACAUAACUUAAGGAGUAGGGGGAUGAACUUCCAGACUCCAUCCACUCCUGGGUAAGGAAAGGGAAAGAGAAAGUGGCCACUUGUCUUUGUUCUUAAUGAUAAAGAUGGAGCUGCAAGUGCCUGGCAAGAAAAGGAAGGGGGGGGGGCUUUCAUAGGACAGCAAAAAUCAGCUAAAAGCUUCCUUUCCUGUCAUCUUGGCCAUGUUUGGGAAAUGGGGGUUUACCCAUUCCACUUCAUUAAGUCACUACAGAAAGGAAAUAUUGUAAUCUCACCUCCAGAUCCAUGGGCUGCUGCUAGGAGUAUGUUGCUGAGAAGGAAUGUUUGUAUCCAGACCGACAGCAUCCUCCCCUCCUCCAUUCUGCAGGUGAUUGAACUACCAGUGUCCGACUGGGGUCCCUUGGCAGCGGUUUUGCCUCCCAGUUUCAGCCUUGCAGUCAGACCUGCCCUUGUUAUGCUCUUCUGGUAAACAGCCUCUCUUUAGAACUGGGAGCUUCCCAGCUAGCUUGCUGCAGCGAGGUGUUUUUCAGCUGAAAGGCGCCCCCUGGGUCCUAAGCCUCCUAUGCCAUGCAAGAUCACUAACCCUGAGCCAGGAGAGGAACUCAGCCAAGUGAAGAAAGGAAGAGAGAUUCAGGUUAUGUUUAGCAUCAGAUCAUUUUGAGACCUGCAUGACUGCAUCCCCCAGGGCUUUUCAUCUCUUCUAUUUCCAUUUGUAUCCACAUUUGGACUUUGCUUCAUGUGUUGCUGCAGUUAGGCCAUAAAAUAUGGCCUAUUACUCCAAACAUCAGAUUUCUUUUGAAAAUAUUAAUAUGAUACAGCAUGACUCAAAUACUUAUUUUAGAUUGUUUAUAUCCCCGAAGACAACAUUGUGGAAUAGAAUACUCAUAUUUUACUAAAUAUUUCAGAGAUGUUUGACUCUUGGUUUCAUAUUAUAUGAGUGCUAAUCCAGAGACUAAGCUGUGCUCUUAAAUCAGGAAAUAGCCUCCAGAGUGUUUCCCAAAAUGAUGGGCAGUUCAUUUUGGUAACAGGCUAUGUUAGGUGGGGAGCUAAAAUAGGAAGUCAUAAAGCUGUUAAAAGGCUUAAGAAUCAUUUUUGACAGCAAAAGAGUGCCAAGGUGUUGAUAAAAAUCUUUAAGAGUAA